GAUGAACGCUGGCGGCGUGCCUAAUACAUGCAAGUCGAGCGAACGGACGAGAAGCUUGCUUCUCUGAUGUUAGCGGCGGACGGGUGAGUAACACGUGGAUAACCUACCUAUAAGACUGGGAUAACUUCGGGAAACCGGAGCUAAUACCGGAUGAUAUUUUGAACCGCAUGGUUCAAAAGUGAAAGACGGUCUUGCUGUCACUUAUAGAUGGAUCCGCGCUGCAUUAGCUAGUUGGUAAGGUAACGGCUUACCAAGGCAACGAUGCAUAGCCGACCUGAGAGGGUGAUCGGCCACACUGGAACUGAGACACGGUCCAGACUCCUACGGGAGGCAGCAGUAGGGAAUCUUCCGCAAUGGGCGAAAGCCUGACGGAGCAACGCCGCGUGAGUAUGAAGGUCUUCGGAUCGUAAAACUCUGUUAUUAGGGAAGAACAUAUGUGUAAGUAACUGUGCACAUCUUGACGGUACCUAAUCAGAAAGCCACGGCUAACUACGUG
RNAcentral lists this ribosomal RNA (496 nucleotides) under uncultured bacterium. RNAcentral's name for it is "partial 16S ribosomal RNA". It matches the Rfam family "Bacterial small subunit ribosomal RNA", at positions 28 to 507 of the family's 1533-position model. The record is from RNAcentral.